This is an unclassified non-coding RNA of Cavia porcellus (domestic guinea pig), 97 nucleotides long. It matches the Rfam family "Y RNA". From Rfam's summary of the family: Y RNAs are components of the Ro ribonucleoprotein particle (Ro RNP), in association with Ro60 and La proteins. The Y RNAs and Ro60 and La proteins are well conserved, but the function of the Ro RNP is not known. The record is from Ensembl. Lineage: Eukaryota; Metazoa; Chordata; Mammalia; Rodentia; Caviidae.
GGCUGGUCCGAUGGCAGUGGGUUAUCAGAACUUAUUAACAUUAGUGUCACUCAAGUUGGUACACCACCCCCCCACUGCUAAAUUUGACUGGCUUUAA